This 348-nucleotide ribosomal RNA is filed under the name uncultured bacterium. Its description in RNAcentral is "bacterial SSU rRNA". It matches the Rfam family "Bacterial small subunit ribosomal RNA", at positions 8 to 350 of the family's 1533-position model. The record is from RNAcentral.
AGAGUUUGAUCCUGGCUCAGGAUGAACGCUAGCUACAGGCUUAACACAUGCAAGUCGAGGGGCAGCAUGUUGGUUGCUUGCAACCAACGAUGGCGACCGGCGCACGGGUGAGUAACGCGUAUCCAACCUACCCUUGUCCAUCGGAUAACCCGUCGAAAGGCGGCCUAACACGAUAUGCGGUUCACAGCAGGCAUCUAACGUGAACGAAAUGUAAAGGAGAAGGAUGGGGAUGCGUCUGAUUAGCUUGUUGGCGGGGUAACGGCCACCAGGCUACGAUCAGUAGGGGUCUGAGAGGAAGGUCCCCCACAUUGGAACUGAGACACGGUUCCAAACUCCCUACGGGAGGCA